Non-coding RNA from Alexandromys fortis (reed vole), 492 nucleotides. NCBI's taxonomy places the organism in Eukaryota, Metazoa, Chordata, Mammalia, Rodentia, Cricetidae. The record is from the annotation of a RefSeq genome assembly.
AUGAAGGCUCCCUCUCAGCUUUUGGUGUUGCUGCUGUUCUGGAUCCCAGGCAUAAUAUGUGACAUCCAGAUGACCCAGUCUCCAUCCUUGUCCGCAUCUCUAGGAGACAGAGUCAGCAUAACUUGCAGGGCAAGUACAAGCAUUGGUAAUGGUUUAGCCUGGUAUCAGCAGAAACAAGGCAGCUCUCCUAAACUACUCAUUUACCAAGCAGCCAAUUUGGAAUCUGGGGUUCCUUCAAGGUUCAGUGGCAGUGGAUAUGGAGCCGAUUUUACUCUCACCAUUAGCAGCCUGCAGCCUGAAGAUAUUGCUACUUAUUACUGUCAACAGUAUUUUGAUACUCCUCCCACAGUGAUCCAAGCCAUGACACAAAUGCCCAAAGGAUGUAGCAGAGUCACCAGCUGGCUCUCUUAUUGUUUCCAUCUGCUAAUAUAUUUUUGCAAAAACAAUCAGACUGAGAAAGUGACAGUGGCAUUGUGGUACAGCUGCCUAUAG